This is a non-coding RNA of Parelaphostrongylus tenuis, 70 nucleotides long. The record is from the annotation of a GenBank genome assembly. Lineage: Eukaryota; Metazoa; Nematoda; Chromadorea; Rhabditida; Metastrongylidae.
ACCUCGGUGGUGUAGUGGUAGUACGCGUCCCCGGUAUGGACGAAACGCGGUUUGACUCCCGCCUGAGGUC